This is a long non-coding RNA of Ricinus communis (castor bean), 1090 nucleotides long. RefSeq lists it as uncharacterized. The record is from RefSeq and is a predicted model, not a curated record. NCBI's taxonomy places the organism in Eukaryota, Viridiplantae, Streptophyta, Magnoliopsida, Malpighiales, Euphorbiaceae. The transcript has 4 exons.
CAGUCCCCUUCGCCAACUGCCAUCUUUACAACUCCACCAGUCCGGCUCUCAGUAUAAUCAUUACAACGAUAAAAUCAAAUAAAACUACCCACUCAAGCGCUAACCAAAUAAAUUCUAUUGAAAUAAACAUAAAAAUCAAAUCAAAUCCUAUAGUGGCGACAAUUACAAUGAAGAUGACUGAAGCAACUGUGCCAUGGCGACUGAAGUAGCAACGUCUAGUGACGGUAACGACUGAAGCAGCAAUGUCAAGUUAUGGCAAUUGAAGUUGCAACUUUGGGUGACGGUAGCGACAGUAACAAUAACUCAAUCACUAGAAAAUCUUUCACCCUUCAAUUGCUAAAAAUCUCACCUAUAACUCAUAACUUAGGUGGAGUUUAAAUUAGCAUAAUUAAGUAUGGUUCAAUGGUGUUGUUCAAUCCAUACAGCCCCACCCACCGCUUAUUUGCUACAUCCCAUUUUCGGGCUCUGGUUAGAUAGUUAAAGAGAAAACUAAAUUUGGUGGUGAGGAGUUUGUAAAUGGUGAUAAGGAUCGAGCAGUACCAUUAAUGACGGUGGUGCGACAAUGAAGCAAAAGAGGCUCAUCUGGUGGUGCAAAGAUGGGAUUUGACUGUGAGAUCGAUGAUGGUUGAGCAUGGUGGUAGAGACGGUAAUGGUGGUAUGGAUUUGAAGGAGGUGUUAAAUAGGUAAUGUGGCAGAGAUGUGAAGUCGAUGAUGGCAGAGGAGUGGGAUGGUACGUAGGUGAAAACCAGGCGCCCAAGUCAAGUAAGUGGUGGCCCAAACAGGCAGAAGAAGGGCUGACUCGCACUACGAUGCGCCGUAGGUGGAGGGCGGCGGAGUAGAAAAAGAGGAGCAAAUGGAGAGGAUGGGGAAGCUGAUAUAAUAUUGUCGUCAUGCGCGAUCCUUAAGGCAAUCUCUUGAUAAUUGAGCUUUCUUGUUUUUUUUGUUUGUUUUUAUUUUUCACUUUUUUUGUAAUCUCUGUAUUACAAGACAAAACAAGUCCACCAAACGUUUCACAUAUUUUUAUUGAUUUCUUAAACAUAAAAAUAGAAUUUUAUCUUUAAAUUACUAAUAAAUAAAAUACAUUUUUAUA